This 253-nucleotide ribosomal RNA is filed under the name uncultured bacterium. RNAcentral's name for it is "partial 16S ribosomal RNA". It matches the Rfam family "Bacterial small subunit ribosomal RNA", at positions 524 to 776 of the family's 1533-position model. The record is from RNAcentral.
GACGUAGGAGGCGAGCGUUGUCCGGAGUUACUGGGCGUAAAGCGCGCGCAGGCGGUCACGCAGGUCAGCUGUGAAAGCCCCGAGCUUAACUUGGGAAUUGCGGUUGAAACUGGCGGACUAGAAUCUGGCAGAGGGGGGUGGAAUUCCACGUGUAGCAGUGAAAUGCGUAGAGAUGUGGAGGAACACCGAUGGCGAAGGCAGCCCCCUGGGCUGAGAUUGACGCUCAGGCACGAAAGCGUGGGGAGCAAACAGG